Molecule: small RNA, 447 nt
Filed under: Pongo abelii (Sumatran orangutan)
Lineage: Eukaryota; Metazoa; Chordata; Mammalia; Primates; Hominidae
Description: retained intron
Source: RNAcentral
CUUUUACCCGUCUCAUUUAGGGGAUGGGAACAACAUGUCUUCACCUAGGGACUUUAGAGCAGAGUCUGGUUUUUGAAAAUAAAGUUAACUCAGAGAAGGUAAAACUUUCUCUUUGGAAUUUCCCACGUAAUGAUUAUGAAGAUGUUUUUGAAGAGCCUUCAGAAAGUGGCAGUGAUCCCAGCAUGUGGACAGCCAGAGGCCCCUUCAGAAGAGACAGGUGGAGCAGUGAGGAUGAGGAGGCUGCAGGGCCGUCACAGGCUCUCUCCCCUCUACUUUCUGGUAUGACAUCAUCCUAUUUGUAGUAGCAAGUUGAGGCUCUAUUUUAGAGAUAUGCACAAAGAUAUUUCUAAUACAAAUGAGGGAAAGAGCUAGGGAAAACUUCAAAAAAUGGGAAAAUAUGGUUUUCUAGGAUUUUCUUUUAAAAAUAAAAAAAUGCAAUUAAAAAAA